This 484-nucleotide ribosomal RNA is filed under the name uncultured bacterium. Its description in RNAcentral is "partial 16S ribosomal RNA". It matches the Rfam family "Bacterial small subunit ribosomal RNA", at positions 28 to 507 of the family's 1533-position model. The record is from RNAcentral.
AUUGAACGCUGGCGGCAUGCUUUACACAUGCCAGUCGAACGGCAGCGCGGGCUUCGGCCUGGCGGCGAGUGGCGAACGGGUGAGUAAUGCAUCGGAACGUGCCCAGUAGUGGGGGAUAGCCCGGCGAAAGCCGGAUUAAUACCGCAUACGACCUGAGGGUGAAAGCGGGGGACCGAAAGGCCUCGCGCUAUUGGAGCGGCCGAUGUCGGAUUAGCUAGUUGGUGGGGUAAAGGCUUACCAAGGCGACGAUCCGUAGCUGGUCUGAGAGGACGACCAGCCACACUGGGACUGAGACGCGGCCCAGACUCCUACGGGAGGCAGCAGUGGGGAAUUUUGGACAAUGGGGGCAACCCUGAUCCAGCCAUGCCGCGUGCGGGAAGAAGGCCUUCGGGUUGUAAACCGCUUUUGUUCGGGAAGAAAUCCUCUGGGCUAAUACCCCGGGGGGAUGACGGUACCGGAAGAAUAAGCACCGGCUAACUACGUG